Long non-coding RNA from Betta splendens (Siamese fighting fish), 3306 nucleotides. Lineage: Eukaryota; Metazoa; Chordata; Actinopteri; Anabantiformes; Osphronemidae. The record is from Ensembl.
AUGACAACACCCACAACAACUCCUGUAGACCCAGCAACAACAACUACCAAAACUCCUGUAGAGCCAGCAACAACAACUACCACAACUCCUGUAGACCCAGCAACAGCUAAAACACUAAACGGAGCUCCGCCAACAGCUUUUACAAUAAUGACAAUUACCACAACUCCUGUAGACCCAGCAACAACAACUACAACAACUCCUGUAGACCCAGCAACAACAACUACCACAACUCCUGUAGACCAAGCAACAACAACUACCAAAACUUCUGUAGACCCAGCAACAACAACAACCACAACUCCUGUAGACCCAGCAACAGCUAAAACACUAAACGGAGUUCUGCCAACAGCUUUUAUAAUAACGGCAACUACCACAACUUCUUUAGACCCAACAACAACAACUACCAUAACUCCUGUAGACCCAGCAACAACAACUACCACAACUCCUGUAGACCCAGCAACAACAACUACCAAAACUCCUGUAGACCCAACAACAGCUAAAACACUAAACGGAGUUCUGCCAACAGCUUUUAUAAUGACAACAACUACAACAACUCCUGUAGACCCAGCAACAACAACUACCAAAACUCCUGUAGACCCAACAACAGCUAAAACACUAAACGGAGUUCUGCCAACAGCUUUUAUAAUGACAACACCCACAACAACUCCUGUAGACCCAGCAACAACAACUACCAAAACUCCUGUAGACCCAGCAACAGUUAAAACACUAAACGGAGUUCUGCCAACAGCUUUUAUAAUAAUGACUACUACCACAACUCCUUUAGACCCAACAACAACAACAACUGCCAUAACUCCUGUAGACCCAGCAACAACAACUACCACAACUCCUGUAGACCCAGCAACAGCUAAAACACUAAACGGAGUUCUGCCAACAGCUUUUAUAAUAACGACAACUACCACAACUCCUGUAGACCCAGCAACAACAACUACCACAACUCCUGUAGACCCAGCAACAACAACUACCAAAACUCCUGUAGACCCAGCAACAGCUAAAACACUAAACGGAGUUCUUCCAACAGCUUUUAUAAUGACAACAACUACCACAACUCCUGUAGACCCAGCAACAACAACAACUACCACAACUCCUGUAGACCCAGCAACAGCUAAAACACUAAACGGAGUUCUGCCAACAGCUUUUAUAAUAACGACAACUACCACAACUCCUGUAGACCCAGCAACAACAACUACCACAACUCCUGUAGACCCAGCAACAACAACUACCACAACUCCUGUAGACCCAGCAACAGCUAAAACACUCAACGGAGUUCUGCCAACAGCUUUUAUAAUGACAAAAACUACAACAACUCCUGUAGACCCAGCAACAGCUAAAACACUAAACGGAGUUCUGCCAACAGCUUUUAUAAUGACAACAACUACCACAACUCCUGUAGACCCAGCAACAACAACUACCACAACUCCUGUAGACCCAGCAACAACAACUACUACAACUCCUGUAGACCCAGCAACAGCUAAAACACUAAACGGAGUUCUGCCAACAGCUUUUAUAAUGACAACAACUACAACAACUCCUGUAGACCCAGCAACAACAACUACCACAACUCCUGUAGACCCAGCAACAGUUAAAACACUAAACGGAGUUCUGCCAACAUCUUUUAUAAUAACGACAACUACCACAACUUCUUUAGACCCAAAAACAACAACUGCCAUAACUCCUGUAGACCCAGCAACAGCUAAAACACUAAACGGAGUUCUGCCAACAGCUUUUAUAAUGACAACAACUACCACAACUCCUGUAGACCCAGCAACAACAACUACCACAACUCCUGUAGACCCAGCAACAACAACUACCAAAACUCCUGUAGACCCAGCAACAGCUAAAACACUAAACGGAGUUCUGCCAACAGCUUUUAUAAUGACAACAACUACAACAACUCCUGUAGACCCAGCAACAACAACUACCACAACUUUUUUAGACCCAACAACAACAACUACCACAACUUCUGUAGACCCAGCAACAGCUAAAACACUAAACGGAGUUCUGCCAACAGCUUUUAUAAUGACAACACCCACAACAACUCCUGUAGACCCAGCAACAACAACUACCAAAACUCCUGUAGACCCAGCAACAACAACUACCAAAACCCCUGUAGACCCAGCAACAGCUAAAACACUAAACGGAGUUCUGCCAACAGCUUUUAUAAUGACAACACCCACAACAACUCCUGUAGACCCAGCAACAACAACUACCAAAACUCCUGUAGAGCCAGCAACAACAACUACCACAACUCCUGUAGACCCAGCAACAGCUAAAACACUAAACGGAGUUCUGCCAACAGCUUUUAUAAUAACGUCAACUACCACAACUUCUUUAGACCCAACAACAACAACUACCACAACUCCUGUAGACCCAGCAACAGCUAAAACACUAAACGGAGCUCCGCCAACAGCUUUUACAAUAAUGACAAGUACCACAACUCCUGUAGACCCAGCAACAACAACUACAACAACUCCUGUAGACCCAGCAACAACAACUACCACAACUCCUGUAGACCAAGCAACAACAACUACCAAAACUUCUUUAGACCCAGCAACAACAACAACCACAACUCCUGUAGACCCAGCAACAGCUAAAACACUAAACGGAGUUCUGCCAACAGCUUUUAUAAUAACGGCAACUACCACAACUUCUUUAGACCCAACAACAAAAACUACCAUAACUCCUGUAGACCCAGCAACAACAACUACCACAACUCCUGUAGACCCAGCAACAACAACUACCAAAACUCCUGUAGACCCAACAACAGCUAAAACAGCAAACGGAGCUCCGCCAACAGCUUUUACAAUAACAACAACCACCACAACACCUGUAGACUCAGCAACAACAACUACCACAACUCCUGUAGACCCAGCAACAACAACUACCAAAACUCCUGUAAACCCAGCAACAACUAUUACUACAACAGCUGCAGACCCAGCAACAACAACUACCACAACUCCUGCAGACCCAAGUACAACAACUACAACUACCACAACACCUGCAGACCUAGCAACAUCUACCGCAACUACUGCAGACCCAGCAACAACAAUUACCACAACCCCUGUAGACUCAGGAACAACUACAACAACUGCUGCAGCUUCAACAACAAUCUAUGCUUCCACAACUUUGCCAGCAACCACUGUCUUUUCAGCGUCAGUCUCUUUAGGUUCUCCACCAUUUAUCCCAUCACCAACACCAUCCUUUGCUCAAACUACGACCAGUGACAGUUACUGUGUGAGUCUGGGAACAGUCCAGCUGCUACUUGGUCUUGUUGCUGUUAGCGUGUUUUAG